Molecule: transfer RNA, 59 nt
Filed under: Agamermis sp. BH-2006
Lineage: Eukaryota; Metazoa; Nematoda; Enoplea; Mermithida; Mermithidae
Description: tRNA-His
Source: RNAcentral
AUACUAAUAUGUUACAGCACAUAAAAUUGAAAUGUGAAUUCAAUAACAAAUUUACUGAA